AUACUUACCUGGCAAGGGAGAUACCGUGAUCAUGAAGGUGGUUUCCCAGGGCGAAGCUUAUCAUUACACUCUGGAUGUGCUGUCCCCUGCAAUUUCCCCAAAUGUGGGAAACACAACUGCAUAAUUUGUGGUAUCAGGGGACUGUGUUUGUGCUUUCCCCUG
Molecule: small nuclear RNA, 162 nt
Organism: Octodon degus (degu)
Lineage: Eukaryota; Metazoa; Chordata; Mammalia; Rodentia; Octodontidae
Gene: U1
Rfam family: U1 spliceosomal RNA
About the family: U1 is a small nuclear RNA (snRNA) component of the spliceosome (involved in pre-mRNA splicing). Its 5' end forms complementary base pairs with the 5' splice junction, thus defining the 5' donor site of an intron.
Source: Ensembl